Molecule: ribosomal RNA, 468 nt
Filed under: uncultured bacterium
Lineage: Bacteria
Description: partial 16S ribosomal RNA
Rfam family: Bacterial small subunit ribosomal RNA
Source: RNAcentral
GACGAACGCUGGCGGCGUGCUUAACACAUGCAAGUCGAACGGAAAGGCCCUGCUUUUGUGGGGUGCUCGAGUGGCGAACGGGUGAGUAACACGUGAGUAACCUGCCCUUGUCUUUGGGAUAACUUCAGGAAACUGGGGCUAAUACCGGAUAGGAGCUCCUGCUGCAUGGUGGGGGUUGGAAAGUUUCGGCGGUUGGGGAUGGACUCGCGGCUUAUCAGCUUGUUGGUGGGGUAGUGGCUUACGAAGGCUUUGACGGGUAGCCGGCCUGGGAGGGUGACCGGCCACAUUGGGACUGAGAUACGGAGCAGACUCCUACGGGAGGCAGCAGUGGGGAAUAUUGCACAAUGGGCGGAAGCCUGAUGCAGCAACGCCGCGUGCGGGAUGACGGCCUUCGGGUUGUAAACCGCUUUCGCCUGUGACGAAGCGUGAGUGACGGUAAUGGGUAAAGAAGCACCGGCUAACUACGUG